AGAUUAGCAAUUCCCUGUUAAGUAAAUGAACAUGAAAUUCAAAGGGAAACAGGAGCAAUAAUCAUUACCAGCUGCCGUGUUAAGCAUUGCGAAAACGCUCACGAUUCACAGAAAAAUCCAUGCUGUUCUUUGAAGGCAUUCAAGCCUUAAUAGCUAGCUGGAUGAAUGUUUAACUUCUAGGCCAGGCACUACUCUGUCCCAACAAUAAGCCCUGUACAUUGGGAAAGGUGCCGAGACAUGAACUUUGGUCUUCUCUGCAAUCCAUCUGGAGCAUUCAGUGACAACAUCGACUUUGAAGUUGCACUGACCUGGCCAGCCCUGCCACUUACCAGGUUGGAUAACACUAACAAAGUUGACCUUAGAAUUGGAGUGCCUGGGUUAGAACCCUGCUGGUACCACCUGCUUACUGCAUGCUUCUGAUGUGAGUUCAGGAGAAGACACUGGCAAGGACAGCAAAGAACAGGAGAACACUCUAGCUUCCCUGAUAGCAUUCAAGGUGCUGUCCAAAUUCUUGAAUCCAGUUCAUGAAUCAAGGGAGAUCCUUGGAUGUCUGAUGGCUGCUAUUCUGUUUCUCAAACAAUUUGAAUUCAGCAAGCCAUCACUGAAGAUAUGGAGUCACACAGUCAAGUUUAAAUCCAUGCUAUGCUAUUUAAAACUUGCAAUUUUUGCUUCAGUUUCUGAAACGGUAAGGGGCACAGGGAUAAUACAGUCUGCUUACCAUAUGGGUGAAGAUGUGGGGGAAGAUUAAAUACAUUGUUCUUACAUGAAAUUGUAAAUAGAAAGCUCCUCCACAGUAAGCUAUCAGCUAAAGCUAGUUUACUUUCCACUGCUCUUCAAUAACGGAAA
This 846-nucleotide long non-coding RNA is filed under the name Pan troglodytes (chimpanzee). RNAcentral describes it as "lincRNA". The record is from RNAcentral. Lineage: Eukaryota; Metazoa; Chordata; Mammalia; Primates; Hominidae.